UACGUAGGGACCAAGCGUUGUUCGGAUUUACUGGGCGUAAAGGGCGCGUAGGCGGCUUAACAAGUCACUUGUGAAAUCUCCGGGCUUAACUCGGAACGGCCAAGUGAAACUGUCAAGCUAGAGUGCAGAAGGGGCAAUCGGAAUUCUUGGUGUAGCGGUGAAAUGCGUAGAUAUCAAGAGGAACACCUGAGGUGAAGACGGUUUGCUGGGCUGACACUGACGCUGAGGCGCGAAAGCCAGGGGAGCAAACGGG
Molecule: ribosomal RNA, 253 nt
Filed under: uncultured bacterium
Lineage: Bacteria
Description: partial 16S ribosomal RNA
Rfam family: Bacterial small subunit ribosomal RNA
Source: RNAcentral